RNAcentral lists this ribosomal RNA (501 nucleotides) under uncultured Pseudomonas sp. Its description in RNAcentral is "partial 16S ribosomal RNA". The record is from RNAcentral. Lineage: Bacteria; Pseudomonadati; Pseudomonadota; Gammaproteobacteria; Pseudomonadales; Pseudomonadaceae.
CACAGAGUUAGCCGGUGCUUAUUCUGUCGGUAACGUCAAAACAACCAGGUAUUUGCUGAUUGCCCUUCCUCCCAACUUAAAGUGCUUUACAAUCCGAAGACCUUCUUCACACACGCGGCAUGGCUGGAUCAGGCUUUCGCCCAUUGUCCAAUAUUCCCCACUGCUGCCUCCCGUAGGAGUCUGGACCGUGUCUCAGUUCCAGUGUGACUGAUCAUCCUCUCAGACCAGUUACGGAUCGUCGCCUUGGUGAGCCCUUACCCCACCAACUAGCUAAUCCGACCUAGGCUCAUCUGAUAGCGCAAGGCCCGAAGGUCCCCUGCUUUCUCCCGUAGGACGUAUGCGGUAUUAGCGUUCCUUUCGAAACGUUGUCCCCACUACCAGGCAGAUUCCUAGGCAUUACUCACCGUCCGCCGCUGAAUCGGGAAGCAAGCUCCCCUCAACCGCUCGACUUGCAUGUGUUAGGCCUGCCGCCAGCGUUCAAUCUGAGCCAGGAUCAAAACU